Molecule: long non-coding RNA, 742 nt
Organism: Chinchilla lanigera (long-tailed chinchilla)
Lineage: Eukaryota; Metazoa; Chordata; Mammalia; Rodentia; Chinchillidae
Exons: 3
Source: RefSeq, a predicted model, not a curated record
GCACUUAAAUCCUUUACUUGGAAAAGGUACGUUCAAGUGAAUAAAGACAGAGAACUGGACCCAAGAUAAACCAGGCAGGCUUGAUCAGGGGACUCAGCCUUGUUUGAUUUGCAAACGUGCGUGGAACCUGGGUCAUUUCUGGUAAAAACUCACAUUAGAUUCAAAACCUAACCUCAGCCGGGGCCAGGCAGCCCCACGGGCUGGUGCAUCUAACAGGAAAGCCAAAAAAGGCAGUUUGGGCCUGGCCAAUCACAGGGCUGGCUCUGCUUCCGCCCUCCCAUAACCCCUGCUCCGGAGCUGCGAACAGGAACGACGCCUCUUUCAGUCUGAGGCUCCCAAAUCCAUGAGUUCCUUCCGUCACGUAGACUCUGAAAUGUUACCAAGCUUCAGAUUUUUCCCUUGCAGACAUAUCAGAGUCUCCUCCCACGUGCAAGUCUGAAGCAGCAUGAAGCUGAGGAAUCCGUGAGGACCAUGCGAUCCAGGUCGGCGUGGCCUCCAGGACCAUCCUGCGAGGACCCUCUGGAGAAGAGGGCCCCCAGCAGGCUUGCUGCAGCAGAAGGAUGCCAGCCAAUGCCAUUUUGACAGGAUUUCUUGGACAACUGUAUCCUGGGCAGGUGGGACAGCGGUCCUGGGAGACCAACCUCAAGUGCAGCCGUGCUCGAGGUGCCGCAGGCCCCAUGCGGUCAGGGCACGAGAGGCCUGAGUGACUCGCACACGUGAGGACUUGUGCCUGCCUCCACAU